CCUGCCCCUAGAGGCACUUCCGGUGUAGCCACUAUGACAUGUGUGCAUGAGUAUAUGGCUGAGGAGAGAGGCCAUGUCUAAGUUCAGUGUUCUGACUUAUGAACAUCUGAAUUAUUAGUAACCUAAUAUU
This is a small nucleolar RNA of Mastomys coucha (southern multimammate mouse), 130 nucleotides long. RefSeq annotates it as small nucleolar RNA SNORA17. The transcript has a single exon. The record is from RefSeq and is a predicted model, not a curated record. NCBI's taxonomy places the organism in Eukaryota, Metazoa, Chordata, Mammalia, Rodentia, Muridae.